This is a long non-coding RNA of Megalops cyprinoides (Indo-Pacific tarpon), 459 nucleotides long. RefSeq lists it as uncharacterized. The record is from RefSeq and is a predicted model, not a curated record. The transcript is spliced from 3 exons. Lineage: Eukaryota; Metazoa; Chordata; Actinopteri; Elopiformes; Megalopidae.
UAUUUAAAACACCGCUCUCAGUCUCUCAAAUAUUUUUUUUCAGUUGUAUAGUUGAGUUUCAGUGAAGACAUCCUUGCUUGAAAACGUGACAGAAUUUAAUAUACUAGACAUUCUUGACCAUUUCAAGACUCUUAAAUGAAUCUACGGGAUACCCGAAACUCUGAGUGAGCUCCUGACCCCAGGCAGUCCAUUGCAAUUGGCACAACCACGACACAUCCGUAGCUACGCCGAAAAAGAACAAAACAUCGCCAAGUCAGAAUACAUCGGCUUUUACGCUGUCAGUACAGAAAACAUUAUAAACUCACGGAAGGACAUUGGAAGAUUUGGUAUCCAGUGAUGCCAUGGUCUGCUGUCGGUAACAGAGUAUGACGUUCAUGCAUGGUGUAUAGGACUGUGAGGUUGUCAGAGGAGAAGCAAGUGACCACGUUUAUUCAGCCUGACCCUUUACCUGUAAAGAAA